UUUCUACUUAACACAUGCAAGUCGAACGGUGAACACGGAGCUUGCUCUGUGGGAUCAGUGGCGAACGGGUGAGUAACACGUGAGCAACCUGCCCCUGACUCUGGGAUAAGCGCUGGAAACGGCGUCUAAUACUGGAUAUGUGACGUGACCGCAUGGUCUGCGUCUGGAAAGAAUUUCGGUUGGGGAUGGGCUCGCGGCCUAUCAGCUUGUUGGUGAGGUAAUGGCUCACCAAGGCGUCGACGGGUAGCCGGCCUGAGAGGGUGACCGGCCACACUGGGACUGAGACACGGCCCAGACUCCUACGGGAGGCAGCAGUGGGGAAUAUUGCACAAUGGGCGCAAGCCUGAUGCAGCAACGCCGCGUGAGGGACGACGGCCUUCGGGUUGUAAACCUCUUUUAGCAGGGAAGAAGCGAAAGUGACGGUACCUGCAGAAAAAGCGCCGGCUAACUACGUGCCAGCAGCCGCGGUAAUACGUAGGGCGCAAGCGUUAUCCGGAAUUAUUGGGCGUAAAGAGCUCGUAGGCGGUUUGUCGCGUCUGCUGUGAAAUCCGGAGGCUCAACCUCCGGCCUGCAGUGGGUACGGGCAGACUAGAGUGCGGUAGGGGAGAUUGGAAUUCCUGGUGUAGCGGUGGAUGCGCA
This 639-nucleotide ribosomal RNA is filed under the name Microbacterium sp. B3_13_cr. RNAcentral's name for it is "bacterial SSU rRNA". It matches the Rfam family "Bacterial small subunit ribosomal RNA", at positions 43 to 692 of the family's 1533-position model. The record is from RNAcentral. Lineage: Bacteria; Bacillati; Actinomycetota; Actinomycetes; Micrococcales; Microbacteriaceae.